RNAcentral lists this ribosomal RNA (389 nucleotides) under uncultured fungus. Its description in RNAcentral is "eukaryotic LSU rRNA". The stretch from base 16 to 169 matches the Rfam family "5.8S ribosomal RNA". Lineage: Eukaryota; Fungi. The record is from RNAcentral.
AAACUUAAAAAUUAAAACUUUCAACAACGGAUCUCUUGGUUCUGGCAUCGAUGAAGAACGCAGCGAAAUGCGAUAAGUAGUGUGAAUUGCAGAAUUCAGUGAAUCAUCGAAUCUUUGAACGCACAUUGCGCCCUUUGGUAUUCCUUGGGGCAUGCCUGUUCGAGCGUCAUUUAAACCUUCAAGCUAAGCUUGGUGUUGGGUGACUGUCCCCUUCCCGGCGGACUACUCUCAUAAUUAUUGGCGGCCGGUACAUUGGCUUCUAGCGAACCAAAAACAUCUACUCCUGCCCACUCAAUUGGCUCCCAUAAGCUAUCUUCACAAUUUUGACCUCUGAUCACGUAGGGAUACCCGAUGAACUUAAACAUAUCAAUUAGCGGAGGAAAGAGGAA